Long non-coding RNA from Cannabis sativa, 3403 nucleotides. RefSeq lists it as uncharacterized. NCBI's taxonomy places the organism in Eukaryota, Viridiplantae, Streptophyta, Magnoliopsida, Rosales, Cannabaceae. The transcript has 3 exons. The record is from RefSeq and is a predicted model, not a curated record.
UCUCUCUCUCUCAAAACCAUAUGAUUUUUGCUCGUGCUCAAAUGCUUAAGUGUUAAUGGUAUUUAUAGGCUUAGGAUUAAGAUCCUAAAGUCAGUGGCUGCAAGAAGCGAAAUUGUUAACUUAGUUAAACCAUAACUAACUUAACCAACUCUCUUCUGAGCGAGAUCUCGACGUCAGGAUUAGUCUAAGUGCAUCUGGGAACAUAUAUGAGCUACUGGGAUCAUAGACCAAAAGUACUCGCUGAAGAAGCUUCCGGAUAAGAUAGAACUAGCUAGAGUCGACUAUCCAGAACUGUCUUCCAGGGAGAUCAAUCUUCCACGAAGAAUAACUAGCUAUCCAAAAUUUCUUUCCAGAGGAGGGCUAGCUAUCCUGAAGACUGAACCUGGAGUGGACAUGAUAGUCAUCCGGGAAUUCCCUUCCGGAAUUAACAACUUAGCUAUCCGAGAACAACAUCUGGGAGACACCUAACUUUCCAGGAACAACUUUCUAAAAAUGAUAUUGGAGAUCUUUUCAUUUGGAGGAACUAUACCACAUCAUCAUUUUUGAAACUUGGUUAGAGUUUAAUAAUUUAGAUUAAAUAAGUUUUUUUUUUGAUCUCACGCAAUUUUCAUGGGUUUUAUCUUGUUCUUCACAAUCUCUACACUACAAUAAAGAUUCAUGCGCUUGUGGUUGAUAAUCUGUCUUGUACAUCUCGAGCAUAAUCUUAAAAAUGAAAAAAAAAAUAACAUAAUUUGCAACUCAAUUUGAAAAAAUUAUUUGACAAUAUUGUUUUUAAUUUUAUUUCAAUGCAGUAACAAUUAUGGUGACUUAGUCAAUCUUAAGUUUUAAAGCUCAAUUUUGAUGUUGUUGGUUAGUUACUGGUGUCUCAAUUUAAGUUAAAGGGUAUUCUCUAAUUCCCUUGUGAUGAAAGUUAGGACUAUUCUUAUAGGAGUUCAAUUGUGUGAUGUAUUAGUACAAUUGAGUUUAAUUGUAAGGUGAUGAUUGACAAAACGAAGAAUAAUGUUAUGUUAGUGAUCACUUUGUCCUUUGAGUGAUGUAAUUAAUUAGUGUAGAAAUUAUACUAUAUAUGAAAAAAUUAUAAGAGUUUACUUUUUUAUGGCAUAAAUAAAUAAAGUUAAAGGGGUUAUGAGUUUUUUGUUUUUUGUAUUUUUACAUUUAUAUGGGUUUUUUUAUGCCAUAUUUUUGUGAAAAUAUUAAAAAUCCCAUAUCUUAAAUUUUUAUGCAUUUUCAGCCGGUACGGACAUCCCUUGCUAGUCGCCGAAAAGAAAUAUACGACUCUUACUUCUCUUGGUUCUUCUUCUCCAUACUUUCACGAUUCCAUUGCUGCCCGCGUGCCGGAGUACAAGGCCCUUCUCAAUCCGAACAAGAACCCUAAGUUUGGCGCCAUGGUUCUUUUCCCCGAGGUAGGUUGGCCUCCAUCUUUGUCUACUGCGGCAACGAGGGCGACAUCGCCUGGUUCGCUGCCAAUACUGACAUCGUCUGGGAGAUCGCCCCAUAGUUUGGCGCCAUGGUCCUCUUCCCUAAGCAUAGAUACUAUGGAGAAUCGAUGCUGCUCGAGAGAAGCAUUGGUUGAUUUCGCCGUCUUGAUCAUUGAGUUAAAGCGAAACUUUUGGUAAAGGACUGCCAUGUCGUGUUAUUUGGUGGAUCAUACGAAGGUCCACCAAAGGAAUGUUGGCAUCAUGGAAGAGGCUCAAUUAUCCUCACAUAGCCAUUGGAGCACUUGCUUCUUCGGCUCCAAUUCUUCAGUUUGAGGAUAUUGCUCAUGUGGAAACAUUUUAUGACUUGAUCUCCAAUGGUUUCAAGGUUUCUCAACCUCUCUUUACUAUUUUAUUUUUUGUUUUCUACUUUAUGCCAGUCAACACUUUUGUUAUUCUUCAGGUUAUGCUAUCUAUUUCAAAGAUAGCAUGCUUUUUUUUUCUUCUUUGUAUUCUACCAUUUGAUGUAAUACUAUGUUCUGUUUCUUGAAAAUAAAAUAAAAAAAGAAAAUAAAUUCAUGUGACAAAAUCGUGGUUAAGAACAUUAAAUAUUAGUGCUCCUGCUUAUGGUGCCAUUCUCUUCAUCCUCAUAUCUAAUUUUUUCACAAAAUCUUUCCUAAUAGUUUGAGUGUCCUCCUUGCGCAAUUUUUGAUAUGGUCCAGCUGCUCUGAGUUAUUGUGUGUUAUUUGAUUUUGUUCAUUUUAUUGUGGAACUGGUUUUGCUCUAAUUUAUGUAUCAGUAUUAGGUUCUAAGUGUGGUUGGGUCAUCUCGUCAUUUUAUUGUGGAUCCAGUUCUAUUUAAUUUAUUUAUCAGUAUUUUUUGAAUUGAUUUUUUCUUAUGUUUUAAUUAGAACCGUGUUAAUUCUAUUUUUGGCAUAUUUAAUUGACAAAAAUAUUUUAUUAUUCAUUGUAUAUUUUCGGCUGGUAUGCUUGAAUAUGGUUUCCUAUUUUGUGUAUUCAAACUUGAAAGGAAAGUUGUCUAGCUUUCCUAUUUUUGGAAAAAAAGUAAAAAUGUUAAGUUUGGUUACCCAUUUCUUUUUUUAUCUAACCAGCUGUAUAAUCUGAUCCUGUGUUGAGUUUCUCAUUUUCUCAGAUCAGAUUUCUUGAAGAGAAAACCAGAGCUAAACUUUCCUUUUCUAUAAAAGGAAAGUUGUAGUUACUGCCCACGAUUCUGUAGGUACAGAAACGGAAAUUCCUGGACUAAUUGAAGAAUUAUUUUAAGAAAGUUUCUAGUGGGCUGAGGUCUUAUUCAGACCGAAUGUAAGCUGUCAAUAAGAUGUAUAUUCAUUAUAAAUACAUCUUAUAGCAGCUAGGUUUAGUAUCUCUUUCAAACACUUAGAAUUGUAUUCAUAUCUUAAGGAAAGAGUAUCUUUGUUAUGUAGAGAAGAGUUGUUCGACUCUUACUCUGUUUAUUUGUUGUUUGUAUUGUCUUAAGUCUGUAUUCAAGUCUACAACGAAGAAGAACAUCAGUGCACCUUCGGGAGAAGGGUAUUUACAAGCUUUCGGGAGAUUGCUUUUGAAGUCUUGCAUCGGGAGGAUACAAGCACACCUUCGGGAGAAGGUUUUUACAAGCUUUCGGGAGAUUGCUUUUGAAGUCUUGCAUCAGGAUGAUACAAGCACACAACCUUCGGGAGAUGGUUGUAUAGGCUUUUGGGAGAUAGCCUUUAAGCCUUGAAUCGGGAGGAUUCAAGCACUCUUCAAGGUGAUCGAAGGGAGUUCGAGCUCUUGGAGUUUUAUCAAGAUUCGGUUAGUAGGUGGAAUACAUCAAGCUUGCGGCAUACAAUAAGAGGGAGUCUAUUUAUGCAUAAGUCAAUUACUUUGUAUUUUUGAUACCGAUCUAAUGAAUCUUAUCUCUGGGUGUGGCCUCGUGGACUAGUAACAAUCUGAAAGGAUUGUUGAAACCACGUAAAAAAAUCUUGUGUGUUUUUA